Molecule: ribosomal RNA, 253 nt
Filed under: uncultured bacterium
Lineage: Bacteria
Description: partial 16S ribosomal RNA
Rfam family: Bacterial small subunit ribosomal RNA
Source: RNAcentral
UACGUAGGGUGCAAGCGUUGUCCGGAAUUAUUGGGCGUAAAGAGCUCGUAGGCGGUCUGUCACGUCGGAUGUGAAAGCUCGGGGCUCAACCCCGAGCCUGCAUACGAUACGGGCAGACUUGAGUUCGGCAGGGGAGACUGGAAUUCCUGGUGUAGCGGUGAAAUGCGCAGAUAUCAGGAGGAACACCGGUGGCGAAGGCGGGUCUCUGGGCCGAUACUGACGCUGAGGAGCGAAAGCGUGGGGAGCGAACAGG